Molecule: ribosomal RNA, 253 nt
Filed under: uncultured bacterium
Lineage: Bacteria
Description: partial 16S ribosomal RNA
Rfam family: Bacterial small subunit ribosomal RNA
Source: RNAcentral
UACAGAGGGUGCGAGCGUUAAUCGGAAUUAUUGGGCGUAAAGCGCGCGUAGGCGGUUACUUAAGUCGGAUGUGAAAGCCCUCGGCUUAACUGAGGAAGUGCACCCGAAACUGAGUAGCUAGAGUACGAAAGAGGGUCGCGGAAUUCCCGGUGUAGAGGUGAAAUUCGUAGAUAUCGGGAGGAACACCGGUGGCGAAGGCGGCGACCUGGGUCGAGACUGACGCUGAGGCGCGAAAGCGUGGGGAGCAAACAGG